GAUGAACGCUGGCGGCGUGCCUAAUACAUGCAAGUCGAGCGAACAGAUGAGGAGCUUGCUCCUCUGACGUUAGCGGCGGACGGGUGAGUAACACGUGGAUAACCUACCUAUAAGACUGGGAUAACUUCGGGAAACCGGAGCUAAUACCGGAUAAUAUAUUGAACCGCAUGGUUCAAUAGUGAAAGACGGUUUUGCUGUCACUUAUAGAUGGAUCCGCGCCGCAUUAGCUAGUUGGUAAGGUAACGGCUUACCAAGGCAACGAUGCGUAGCCGACCUGAGAGGGGGAACGGCCACAAGGGAAAGGGGAAACGGACCAAAACCCUAGGGGAGGCAGCAGGAGGGAAUUUUCCGAAAGGGGCGAAAGCCUGACGGGGCAACGCCGGGGGAGGGAUGAAGGUUUUGGGAUCGAAAAACUUUUUUAUUAGGGAAAAAAAAAUGGGAAAGUAAAUAUGCACGUUUUGAAGGUACCUAAUCAGAAAGCCACGGAUAACUACGU
Molecule: ribosomal RNA, 496 nt
Filed under: uncultured bacterium
Lineage: Bacteria
Description: partial 16S ribosomal RNA
Rfam family: Bacterial small subunit ribosomal RNA
Source: RNAcentral